This 377-nucleotide unclassified non-coding RNA is filed under the name uncultured Promicromonosporaceae bacterium. RNAcentral describes it as "contains 16S-23S intergenic spacer region". Lineage: Bacteria; Bacillati; Actinomycetota; Actinomycetes; Micrococcales; Promicromonosporaceae. The record is from RNAcentral.
UCCGAGUUGACCCCGGCAGUCUCCCAUGAGUCCCCGGCAUAACCCGCUGGCAACAUGGGACGAGGGUUGCGCUCGUUGCGGGACUUAACCCAACAUCUCACGACACGAGCUGACGACAACCAUGCACCACCUGUGCACCGACCUUGCGGGGCACCCAUCUCUGAGUGUUUCCGGUGCAUGUCAAGCCUUGGUAAGGUUCUUCGCGUUGCAUCGAAUUAAUCCGCAUGCUCCGCCGCUUGUGCGGGCCCCCGUCAAUUCCUUUGAGUUUUAGCCUUGCGGCCGUACUCCCCAGGCGGGGCACUUAAUGCGUUAGCUGCGGCACAGAAACAGUGGAACUGUCCCCACACCUAGUGCCCAACGUUUACGGCAUGGACUAC